GCCAGUACUUUCUCCUUUUCCAUCCAAGCUAGCUGUGAGAGGCAAUGUUUAUGGAGGAUGGUCUCAGUGAAUACUACACGUUCGUUCUUUCAGAGCAGCAUUUUGCAACCUCACUACAGUUGACAUUCUGAGUUAGAUAAUUCCUUACUGGGGGGAGGGGCUGUCCUGUGCACUAUAGGGUAGUAAACAGCAUUCCUGGCCUCUGCUCACUAGAGUCUAGUAGCAGCCUCCUCACCAGCGGUGACAACCAAAAAUGUCUCCAGAGAUGGCCAAAGGGUUCCUUUUGGCACCCCAAUUGAGAACCAUUGCUCUAGAUUCACUAAGUUUAUUCUUGGAUUAAGCCAAAAUCAUCAGAAACCUACAAAACUGAGCCAUAAGGUUUCCCGAGAAAUUGUGUCCUUCAAUCUCAUCCCCUCUGAUGUGCUCUCUCCUCCUGUGAAGUCAGAUUGGACUUGGCCCUCCCACAUUGGAAGAAUCUAUGGGGCCCUGAAAUCUUUGCUGUGUCUGAGCGAUAGCAUCAAAGAAGGUGAAUUGGGCAAGAAUGACUCAAUUAUUUCGCAUUCUGAACAAUGCUGACUUGGUGACUGGCGUCCUGCAAGGGCUGCAUUCAAACGCCUCGUUCCACGCUUCCCAAGGAGAACUAGAGAGGGCCCUCCAGGUGUGAGCCUGUGGAAACCUGCCCUGGCGCUCCUCUCCCACAUUGUGACUCUUUGAGUUCUCCAGGGAACAGCUGGAGGCCCAGGAGGAUUACAGAGAAGACUGAGCAGAUUCCCAUAAACACUGUCUGAUAUGUGAUUGCGGAGCACACAGAAAUAUAAUCCUGUAAGAAACUGGAAUUGGGGGCUUCCCUGGUGGCACAGUGGUUAAGAAUCUGCCUGCCAAUGCAGGGGACACGGGUUCGAGCCCUGGUCCGGGAA
Aethalodelphis obliquidens (Pacific white-sided dolphin) is the source of this 917-nucleotide long non-coding RNA. RefSeq lists it as uncharacterized. Lineage: Eukaryota; Metazoa; Chordata; Mammalia; Artiodactyla; Delphinidae. The transcript has 5 exons. The record is from RefSeq and is a predicted model, not a curated record.